RNAcentral lists this ribosomal RNA (460 nucleotides) under uncultured bacterium. RNAcentral describes it as "partial 16S ribosomal RNA". It matches the Rfam family "Bacterial small subunit ribosomal RNA", at positions 338 to 795 of the family's 1533-position model. The record is from RNAcentral.
CCUACGGGUGGCAGCAGUGAGGAAUCUUGGUCAAUGGCCGGAAGGCUGAACCAGCCAUGCCGCGUGAAGGUCAGUGCCCUAUGGGCGUUAAACUUCUUUUGUGCGGGAGCAAUAAUGGUCACGUGUGGCCAGACGAGAGUACCGUACGAAUAAGCAUCGGCUAACCCCGUGCCAGCAGCAGCGGUAAUACGGGGGAUGCAGGCGUUAUCCGGAUUUAUGGGGUUUAAAGGGUGCGUAGGCGGGGAGGUAAGUCAGAGGUGAAAUUCCCCCGCUCAACGGGGUGAAGUGCCAUUGAUACUGCCUUGCUGGAGUGCGGAUGCAGUGUGAGGAAUGUGUGGUGUAGCGGUGAAAUGCAUAGAUAUAACGCAGAACACCGAUUGCGAAGGCAUCUCACGAAUCCGCGAUUGACGCUGAUGCACGAAAGCGUGGGUAUCAAACAGGAUUAGAUACCCCAGUAGUC